GCAGGAUGAAGCGAAAGUAAAAUUUCGUGGAGGUCCGAACCCACGGGCGUUGAAAAGCUCGGGGAUGACUUGUGGGUAGCGGUGAAAUUCCAAUCGGGCCCGGAGAUAGCUGGUUCUCCCCGAAAUAGCUUUAGGGCUAGCCUCAAGGUGAGAGAUACGGAGGUAGAGCACUGAAUGUCCUAGGGGGUAUUGCACCUACCGAAGACUAUCAAACUCCGAAUGCC
This 224-nucleotide ribosomal RNA is filed under the name Clostridioides difficile. RNAcentral's name for it is "partial 23S ribosomal RNA". It matches the Rfam family "Bacterial large subunit ribosomal RNA", at positions 740 to 964 of the family's 2925-position model. The record is from RNAcentral. Lineage: Bacteria; Bacillati; Bacillota; Clostridia; Peptostreptococcales; Peptostreptococcaceae.